This 527-nucleotide ribosomal RNA is filed under the name uncultured bacterium. RNAcentral describes it as "bacterial SSU rRNA". It matches the Rfam family "Bacterial small subunit ribosomal RNA", at positions 8 to 518 of the family's 1533-position model. The record is from RNAcentral.
AGGGUUCGAUUCUGGCUCAGGAUGAACGCUAGCUACAGGCUUAACACAUGCAAGUCGAGGGGCAGCAUAUCGGUAGCUUGCUACCGAUGAUGGCGACCGGCGCGACGGGUGAGUAACGCGUACUCCCUAACCUUCCCCUUACUAGAGGAUACGCCCGGCGAAAGUCGGAUUAAUACUGUAUAUUGUUCAAUGCGGGCAUCUAAGUUGAAUGAAAGGUUUACCGGUAAGGGAUGGGGAUGCGUCUGAUUAGGUUGUUGGCGGGGUAACGGCCCACCAAGCCAUCGAUCAGUAGGGGUUCUGAGAGGAAGGUCCCCCACAUUGGAACUGAGACACGGUCCAAACCCCUACGGGAGGCAGCAGUGAGGAAUAUUGGUCAAUGGGCGAGAGCCUGAACCAGCCAAGUAAGCGUGCAGGAAGACGGCCCUAUGGGUUGUAAACUGCUUUUAUACAGGGAUAAAGUCGGGGACGUGUCCCCGUUUGUAGGUACUGUAUGAAUAAGGACCGGCUAAUUCCGUGCCAGCAGCUGC